GACGAACCGUGCGAACGUUGUUCGGAUUCACUGGGCUUAAAGGGCGCGUAGGCGGACGGUCAAGUCGGGGGUGAAAUCUUUCCGCUCAACGGGAAAAGUGCCUCCGAUACUGGGUCGCUGGAGGGGGAUAGGGGUGCGCGGAACUUCCGGUGGAGCGGUGAAAUGCGUAGAUAUCGGAAGGAACAUCAGUGGCGAAAGCGACUUCCUGGACCAAUACUGACGCUCAUGUGCGAAAGCGUGGGGAGCAAACAGG
This 253-nucleotide ribosomal RNA is filed under the name uncultured bacterium. RNAcentral's name for it is "partial 16S ribosomal RNA". It matches the Rfam family "Bacterial small subunit ribosomal RNA", at positions 524 to 776 of the family's 1533-position model. The record is from RNAcentral.